Molecule: long non-coding RNA, 10719 nt
Filed under: Triticum aestivum (bread wheat)
Lineage: Eukaryota; Viridiplantae; Streptophyta; Magnoliopsida; Poales; Poaceae
Description: long non-coding RNA (TAES_LNC025618)
Source: RNAcentral
UAUAGUUCAUCUGCAAAACAGUGACUACGAUCUUGUUUCUGUAUACAGGUUUGCGAUAUUGUAGAUGGAUUAUUCAUAGAAUUGUUUAGAUUGUUUACUGAAAAUAACAAGAAAUAAGUUGAGGCAAUUAACAAGGCAGUAUCCAUUUGAACCACGAAGGUAAAAUAUUUCUUGCUUGGUUAUUCCAGUUAUGAUACAACAUCUGAGUUUCCUAGCUCAAGAUGUCGAUUCACAUUUGAACCACGAGUUGUGUGCUGGUUUCUUUCCACCCCUUGACAGGGAGAUCCAGGAAGGAGGUGAGUACGACGACGGCGGCAGAGGAGGAAGAAGGAAUCGACCAGGGAAGUCUAAGAAUAAAAUGUUAGUGGUGCCACCAUUCUCUUGCUUGCCUCGCUGCUUGUACAUCCAGACAACGAGACAUCACAGUCCCUCACGCUCUCGGACCUCUUCGACGUCAGGGGUGGCACUGCCGUGCUCAAGCUCAAGGCGAAGGUUUCUCCGUCCUCUGCUGAUGCCAUGGGCAUGCUUGAAUUUCUGAUAUGUGACUACUCUGCCGCUCAUUAGGCCCCGGACCCGUUGAUGCAUGCAAACGUGCUCUACCCGGACACGGAGUUCGUCACCGAGAUAGCGUAAGUGGUGAGAUUUGGUUUCGAGUCAUUUGCUGUGGUUUGAAGGAUUCAUUGUUGUUGGCAUGAAUUUUGUUUUAGCCGCACUAGGCCAAUCCGAGAUGACAAUGUUGCUCUUUCUUUGUACCUACUAAUUGAGUAUGAUUUGUACCUACAGGAAGGCUCUGAAGGACGUAUUUCUUCCUUAUUUUGAUAAAUGUAAGGUUUAUGUUCAGUGCAUUUAAUAAUUACUCUCUCCUUCAGUAUUUUUGAUAUGGGUAAAAUAGAUAUUACCGCCUCUUUCUAUAUUGCUUGCUCAAUCUAUACUGCAUUUAUUAAUUUGUACUAACAUGAAGCUGCACACUUGUGUAAGUACUGCUUGAUGUUGGUGAUGAUUAGUUCAUUCUCAUCUUUUCAAUAAAACAUAUAUCCAGUUGCAAUUUUGGAUAUUUACACAGCUGUAUUUGUUGCUUUUCUAGAUUCUGUUAGCCCAGAAAUUUGGUUUCUGAAGCAUUCAAACAUCAAUAAUCAAGAGCGACCACAAAGGUGAGGGGUAUGAAAUGGAUGGGUGACUAUCUCCACACUUGAUCUUUCUAUUUGACAUCGCAUAACAUAUGAUUGACUUGUGUUUUUCAAAUUUCUUUACUGAGUUCAUUACAUGGGGCUUCUAUGUCUUUCCUGCUUUAUUGUCGGUAUAUGGAAUUGUUACUGUAGCCCUCUAAUAUCCUUCAUUUUUUGCAACUUGAUGCAUUGAAAAUAAUAGUUAACUGCCAAAUUUUGUUCCGGUGCCCACAUAUACUUCCGCAUACCCCCACCACUUCUGCAUAGCACCACCAUAUACCACAUACACAACCACCGCUUACCAACUCCAACUCCAACAAUUUUGGUCCAAUUUUGCUUUGAGAAUUUGAGUUGCGGUACAGUGUCCUACUUGUGUUUUGGCUAUUUAGGUAUGGUUCGACAUCAACAUCACCGCCUCUCAUCUUUGCCACGGACGCGUCAUCAACAAUGACCACCUCGACUACAUCUUGGUAUUCAUGCCACCAUUUUGACACCAUACCGUCUGCAAGAAACGGUAACCUCAUCUUGGUAUUGGACAUAUCAUUCUUGCCAUUACAUUGAUAGCCAUCAUAGCCUUACUCCUUUGCAUUGCUUACCCAUCGAGACUAGCCAUUGAGUAUUGCCGGCAAUGAGACUUGUGCACAUUAGUGAUCAUACUUCCCAUAGCAUACAUACAUCAUUGUUGCAUAUAUUGGUAUCAUCUCUUGUGUAACAAAGUUGUCAUCGCAUACACAAUUGCUAUCUUGGUUCGUCAAGCAUUGCAUGAGAAAAGAGCUCAAACAUCAAAGAGCCAAACAAGCUUUUAAGCAAAAGGAAAAGAUAACAAAAGAGCUUUUAAGUAAGAACCAUAGCAUCAUACAACAUUAAGAUUGUCAUAUUAGAUCAUCUUGGAUCAUAUCAUCGAAACACCUUGCAUAGAACAUACUUGGGAUAGAAGUCGUUGCAUUUUUGCUUAGUAGGUUGUGCACAAGUCUUGUAUCCGCCUAUUGUGCAAUCGUGCUAGCGUCUCUCUAGUGUUGUGCAACAAGAGCAUUUUUGUGGAUUCCACAUUUUGGCUCAUCCUUGGUUGCACGACCCCACUUAUCUUUUUGCGUGUGUGUUUCCGUGUACCUUACAUUGCUUGGUCUACUUGUUGCAUUGCAAUCUUGCGAAUCUUUUCCAACAUUAUUGAAGCUCACUUACAAUUGCAUCAAAUUCUGUACCACCAUCCUAACCAAGCUCCACCAUAAGCUUUUACUUGUGUAGGUGUGAGAAACCGACAAGAAUUGGUACCAAUUGUGCUAUUUCCUUGUCCACAUUGGAGUGAUCAUUGAUCCACUUUUAACUUCGGUCAAGGUACAUUUGGUAUUCGUUCUUCUCUUUCUACCACUCACAUUUUUAUCUUGGAAUGAUGGAUAGGCCAAGUACUUCUACCAACCCACUCUUCAUCGAGCACAACGAUGAUAUGAACUCCUACGUCACCAAGAGCCACCUCUUUGGUGCACAACGUGCUUUGCAUCAAGAGCAACAAGCAAUGAGUGAAUGCAUCGACAACCUCGCCGCCGACUUGCGACUCUUCGAGAAAUGUACAAGGGACUACUUCGACCACAAGCUCGACGAUCACAAGCAAGAUAACGACGCAAGAAUGGACGAGAUUCUCGCUUUGUUGCUCAACCACUCUUCUUCCACUUCAUCUUCAUCAAGAAGGACUCGCUCAAGUCGACACUCCGACUUCACCCUCUUCGGCUCAAGUACACCGACAUCGAACACUCUUCGACGUGCCGCGCACAAUGAUCAUCAAGCAAGCCUCAAUCCUCUAUGCGACACCAACUCUCAAGAGCACCGGCAACGUCAAACCCAAGAGGCUUUUGCGCUAGCACGAGAAUGGCAACGACAACGCCAACAUGAAGCGGAAGAGCAAGCACGUCUACACCAAGAAGCACAAGAUGUCGAGGCACAACGUCAAGAGCAACAAUGGCGAGAUGCUCAAGCACUUGCGGCCCAACGUGCCCUUCAAGAUUCAAGUCACGUCGUCGCCACAUGUAAUCGCCAUCAGCGUGAACAAGAGGAAGCACUUUGCGAAGAGGUCCAAGAGAGGAUUUACCAAUCACGUGUGCAUCGUCAAGUUCCUCAAGUUCCUCCUCGAGCUUGACAAGCUCCCCCACAAGCUCGCCAAGAACAUCAAGUUCACCAAGAGCAUGAAGACAAUGGGAAUCCUGCACGACAAGAGCAACAUGAGGUCGACAACCCUCCUCACCAAGAGCAACACGAGCUUGACAGUCAUCAACAACAUGGACGUCAUCAUCCCCGACCCCAACACAAUGAAGAGCAACGCUACGGCAAGCUCAAGUUCACCAUGCCCAAGUUCAAUGGAGGCAACGAUCCCGAAGAGUACCUUUCAUGGGCAUUGAAGGUCGACAAAAUCUUGCAUUUGCACAACUAUGAAGAAGAGAACAAGAUCGUGAUGGCAUCCCUUGAGUUCCAAGACUAUGUCCUCAUUUGGUGGAAACAAGUUAUUGAGCGCCGAGAGGCAAGAGGUGAACCACCCAUCACUACUUGGGUGCAAAUGAAGGAUGUCAUGAGAGCAUGCUUUGUGCCUACCUACUAUAACCGCGACCUCUUGAAGAAACUCCAACUACUUAAGCAAGGAACCAAGAGCGUUGAAUAGUACUACAAGGAGAUGAAGAUUUAUAUGAUACGAGCCAAUGUCACGGAAGAUGAUGAGCAAACUAUGGCACAUUUCUUGAAUGGAAUCAACCAUCCUAUCAAGAAGAUCGCCGACUUCCAACCAUACUCGAACCUCGUCGAGCUAGUGCAUCAAACUACAAAAGCGAAUGUCAAGUGCAAGACGAUUUCAAGUAUGCAAAGUUCUCAUCCAAGUCUUACGGCUUCUCCAACACCCAAGCUUCAACGACUCCAGCUCCGUCUACCAAGCCUUCUCUAGGGAACGUCGACAAGUCGAGUUCCAAGAAAUCUUCGUAAACUCCAAGUCAUCCUCCUACUACAAGCAACUUCAAGCCGAGAGCUUCAUCAUCAUCCACUCCAACCGAUGAGACCGUCAAGACGAGUUCCUUCAAAUGCUUCACAUGCGGAGGCCGAGGCCACAAGUCGUAUGAGUGCACCAACAAGCGAACCAUGAUACUCAACGACGACGACACCUACGACUCGAGGAGUGAAGGAGAAAUGGACGCUCUUGAGCAAGUCGCCAUGCAUCGGCAAGUGAAUGAUGAAGAGGACCAAGUGUUUUGCAAUGAAGAUUCAAGUCCCGCUCUUGUUGUCUCCAAGGUCUUGACUCUCCAACAUCACGAAGAAGAAGACCAACGAUGCCACAUCUUUCAUACCAACUCCAGCAUCAAUGGACACUCCAUCAAGGUCAUCAUCGAUGGAGGGAGUUGUCAUAAUCUCGCAAGUGAAGAACUUUGCUCCAAGCUCCAAUUGCCCAAGACGAAGCACCCACAUCCCUACCAAGUGCAAUGGCUUAGCGACUCCGGCACUAUCCAAGUCGAGCAUCGAGUACAAGUCUCCUUCAAAAUUGGCGCCUAUGAAGACACUUUGGAGUGCGACGUCGUUCCAAUGACCGUUUUCCACCUUCUCCUUGGACGCCCAUGGCAAUUUGAUAGAGGUGUCAUUCACAAUGGCUGAACGAACCACUACAUCUUCAAGAUGAAGGGAAAGGAGUACAUACUUCGUCCCAUGUCUCCAAGCCAAGUGACUGCCGACAAGCAAGCCACCCAUCAUGGAGAGAAUAGUGAGAGAGCGAUCCACCAAAAAGUGAGUGAGCGCCACAAGCCCAAAUCGAGCGCCUCCACGAUGAGUGAAAAGAAGAACUUAGUCCUUUUUGCCACCAAAAGUGAGAUAAGAGGAGUGUGUGAGAACCCAUCUAGUGUCCUAACUACGUCCUUUUGUGCAAGGACAAUGAACCACAAGCUAACACCCCUCACACUCUUGUUCUAGUGUUGUCUUCUCUUUUGCAGGAAUUUCAUGAUGUUUUCCCCAAUGAGCUACCUCUGGGACUACCUCCACUACGAGGCAUCGAGCACCGGAUCGACCUCAUCCCCGGAGCACCGCUUCCGAACAAAGCUCCCUACCGUGUCAACCCUGAAGAAACCAAAGAAAUACAAAGGCAAGUAAAGCAUCUCAUAGACCAUGGACAUGUGCGUGAAAGUUUGAGCCCUUGUGCCGUCCCGGUCAUUCUUGUGCCAAAACGAGACGAUAGCUUUCGCAUGUGCUCCGAUUAUAGACCUAUCAAUGCUAUCACCGUUCGUUAUAUGUAUCCCAUUCCACGCCUUGACGAUAUGCUUGAUGAACUUAGUGGUGCCACUAUCUUUUCAAAAAUUGAUCUUAAGAGUGGUUACUAUCAAUCCGCAUACAAGAGGGUGAUGAAUGGAAAACCGCUUUCAGAACCAAGUUUGGCUUGUAUGAGUGGUUAGUCAUGCCUAUGGGUCUAUCGGAAGCACCGGGUACUUUUAUGCGUCUUAUGAAUCAUGUCUUUCGCCCUUACAUUGGUGUGUUUGUUGUGGUCUACUUCAAUGAUAUCCUUGUUUUUGGCAAGUCUCUCAAAGAGCAUGUCACCCAUAUCCGAACCGUUUUACAAACUCUUCGAAAGGAGCACCUCUAUGCUAAUAUGGAGAAAUGCCUUUUUGGCGUUGACAAGCUCGUUUUCUUGGGGUUUGUUGUCUCUUCUAAGGGUGUUCAUGUAGAUGAGUACAAGAUCAAUGCUAUUAAGACUUGGCCACAACCAACCAACUUGCAACAAGUGCGUAGCUUUCUUGGCCUUGUGGGUUUCUAUCGUCGCUUUGUGAAAGAUUUUAGCGCCAUUGCUUCGCCUUUGCAUGCUUUGAGCAAUAAGAAUGCGCCUUUUGUUUGGGGACCAUCCCAAGAUACCGCUUUCAAUGAGCUUAAGAAUUUGCUUACUCAUGCUCCCGUGCUUGCUUUACCCAACUUUGACAAACACUUUGAGAUUCAUUGCGAUGCUAGUGGUAAUGGCAUAGGAGGUGUGUUAACGCAAGAGAAGCGCCCCAUAGCUUACUUUAGUGAGAAACUUUCUGGAGCGCAACCCAAUUAACCCAUCUAUGACAAAGAGCUAUAUGCCUUAGUCCGCGUUUUGCAUGAAUGGGAACACUAUCUUCGCCCUCAUGAAUUUAUCAUUCAUACCGAUCAUUAAACGCUCAAGUACCUUAAGGGCCAAACCAAGUUGAACAAGCGUCAUGCUAAAUGGAGUGAAUUUAUUGAGUCUUUUCCUUAUGUCAUCAAGUACUUUAAGGGUAAGGAAAAAAUUGUGGCAGAUGCCCUUUCCCGCAUAUGCAUGCUUGUUACUCAACUUGAAUUGGAUGUUAUUGGCUUUGAGCAUAUAAAAGACUUGUAUGAGCAUGAUCCUACUUUUGGUACUCCUUAUGCCAAGUGUUUGACGCACACCUCUUGGGAACGCUAUUACAUCAAAGAUGGAUAUCUUAUGAGAGCUAACAAACUUUGCAUCCUCGAGUCUUCUCUUCGUUUGUUGCUUUUGCGGGAAUCUCAUGGAGGAGGCUUAAUGGGACAUUUUGGACGUGACAAGACGUUCGCUGCGCUGUCAAAGAACUACUAUUGGCCCAAGAUGUUUCGUGACGUCAACCGCUUCACCAACUGAUGCUCUACAUGUCGCAAAGCUAAGUCUAAAGCUCAAUCCCAUGGCCUUUAUAUGCCUCUACCAAUUCCAUAUCAACCAUGGGAAGACAUUAGCAUGGACUUUGUACUUGGUGUGCCUAGGACUAGAAAUGGGAAGGAUUCGGUAUUUGUCGUUGUGGACCGUUUCUCUAAAAUGGCAGACUUCAUUCCUUGCAACAAGAUAAACGAUGCUUCACAUGCACUACAAAAAAAAUACACUUCCGUGAUGGUACGUGUUUGUCACAGUAGGUCGCGUUUUUUGUCAUGCAUGUACAUCCAUGACGAUUUUAUGACAGAAUCAAGAUAGUCAUACCUGUGCUGGCGUAGAAGUGUUCCAUGACAUUACCAAAAUUAUCAUCACGGAAGUGUCCACUUCCAUGAUGAUAAAUCGCGCAUCACAGAAGUGCUUUCGUCAAGGGUGACCGACAUGUGGCAUCCACCGUAAUGGAACACCGUUAAGCUAUCGGGUCGGGUUUUGGAUCCGAUAACCCGUUAACAGCCCCGACCAAUGGGGAUUUUCCACGUGUAAAAUCAUCAUUAGCUGGAGGAAACACGUGUCGGCUCACCGUUGGGACAGAUGUCAUCCGCUCAUUGGACCGAAGGCGCCUAUGAUACGGCGACACAUGGCACGGCCCAACAGAGGCCCAUUCCUGUGAAAAGGCCGGCCCGUUUGACUUGGUCAAAAGGUGGCGGGCCGGCCCAUGGAAAGCCUGUUAACGGCCUGUUCGCAUAUAGCCCAUUUACAACCCGCUAACCCAGGGCCCGUUACGCCCUAUCCAAAUUAGGCCCGGUAGCGUCAUCUGGGCCGUCCAAUAUGAUUCAUCCCGUUUUAACUUCCGGCCCAUGUGUGACCCAUGACUUCUUUCGGCCCAUAUGAGGACCUUUGUAACUCUUGGCCCAUUAACGGCCCGUGGUGAAACUGGCCUGUAAUGAAUAGUGUAUCACUUUAUACCCAUUAACGGCCCGUUAUUCCAUUGGGCCCUUUCCAGCCCAAGUUAUCUUUUAGCCUUCUCAGGGCCCAUUGAUUCUUGGGCUCAUUUGUAGCAUUCGGUUACAUACGGCCCGUUACUGUCAUUUUCUGCUUGUGGGCUAAAUUCAGCCCGUCGUUACAGUCGGCCCAUUUGCGGACCGUUAAUACGUUGGGCCAUUUUCAUGUAAAAAAACCCGUUGGGCUGUUUUCAUAGAGUUAUCAAAUACAGCCUAUUAACGGCCCAUUAUGGUCCACGAAUAGUACGGCCCAUGAUUGGCGAAAUGAUGAUACGCCCCGUAGAAGGCCCAUGGAUCCUACGACCCGUAUGAGGCCCAUGGAUAGUACGACCCAUAGAAGGCCCAUGGAUCGUACGGCCCGUAGAAGGCCCAUGGACCCUACGGCCCGUAGAAAGCCCAUGGACCCUAAGGCCCGUAUAGAAGGCCGAUGGAUCCUACGGCCGAACGAAGGCCCAUGGAUCAUACGGCCUGCAGGAGGCCCAUGGUUACAACAGUCCGUGUGUUGCCAUGAUUAUUUUGGCCUAGUUACCAAAAAUAGGCUAUUGUGGCCACUAGAAAAAAACAGAAAAAGAGCUGCAAUGACUACAAGCAAACAACUCAACAAGACAAUAAGGAAAUAAAUAAGCAAGCAAUUAACGCUAGCCUAUUACCGCUAUUACACAUAUUACAUCCACUGGGCAUCAAAGUUCGCCACCAGUGCAAAUAUAGGGAACAAAGCAGCACAUUACAUACAAUUGCCAUCAAAAUUGGCCACCAGUGCAAAUAAACGCGACAUCAAAACAAGAGCAUAACUGAAACAACAUCAGAAGAGCUCAAGAAACGUUAUCCUGGGUAUCCACACCAUGCUGGCUAUAAGCUUAGCAAGCUGAUUAGCUUUGUCCUGUUUGGCGCUAAAAUCCUCCAACGCUUGCUGUUGCACCAGAAAGUAUGCAUCUGAAUGCUCCAGGGACUUCCGCAGUCCUUCCGCUUCUUGUCGCAGCUAUAACGCCCUCGAUGCGGCUAUAUCUCCCACGUGUCGAAGCACGACUUAGAGGCAUAACCGCAUUGAAAGCAAUGUCGCAAGUGAGGUAAUCUUCACACAACCCAUGUAAUACAUAAAGGAAAGAGAUACAUAGUUGGCUUACACUCGCCACUUCACACAAUACAUGAAUAUAACAUUACUUUCAUCCAAAUACACUCAAGGUCUGACUAUGGAACCAAAAUAAAAGAAGACUACCCCAAAAGCUACACAGAUCCCCGAUCGUCCCAACUGGGCUCCACUACUGAUCAACUGGAAACGGAACAACAUAACGAACACGAUCUUCAUGGAGCUCCUCCUUGAGCUCGGUUGCAUCACCUGCACGAUAUCAUCGGCACCUGCAAACUGGUUUUGGAAGUAUCUGUGAGUCACGGGGACUCAGCAAUCUCACACCCUGGCGAUCAAGACUAUUUAAGCUUAUAGGUAGGGAAAAAGGUAUGUGAGGUGGAGCUGCAGCAAGCACUAGCAUAUGUGGUAGCUAACAUACGCAAAUGAGAGCGAGAAGAGAAGGCAAAGCACGUUCGAGAAACUAUGAUCAAGAAGUGAUCCUAGAACAACCUACGUCAAGCAUAACUCCAACACCGUGUUCACUUCCCGGACCCCGCCGAGAAGAGACCAUCACGGUUACACACGCGGUUGAUGCGUUUUAAUUAAGAUAAACUUUAGGUUUUCCACAACCGGACAUUAACAAUUUCCCUUCUGCCCAUAACCGCGGGCACGGCUUUCGAAAGUUCAAAUCCCUGCAGGGGUUUCCCAACUUAGCCCAUCACAAGCUCUCACGGUCAACGAAGGAUAUUCCUUCCCCAAGACAACCUGAUCAGGCUCAGAAUCCUGGUUACAAGACAUUUCGACAAUGGUAAAACAAGACCAGCAAAGCCACCCAGAUGUGCCGACAAAUCCCGAUAGGAGCUGCACAUAUCUCGUUCUCAGGGCACACCGGAUGAGCCAGACGUCGGGUAGGCCAGCCCAGAGUUGCCCCUGGUAGCCCCGGACAUCGCUCAGUUGGACCAACACUUAGAGAAGCACUGGCCCCNNNNNNNNNNNNNNNNNNNNNNNNNNNNNNNNNNNNNNNNNNNNNNNNNNNNNNNNNNNNNNNNNNNNNNNNNNNNNNNNNNNNNNNNNNNNNNNNNNNNNNNNNNNNNNNNNNNNNNNNNNNNNNNNNNNNNNNNNNNNNNNNNNNNNNNNNNNNNNNNNNNNNNNNNNNNNNNNNNNNNNNNNNNNNNNNNNNNNNNNNNNNNNNNNNNNNNNNNNNNNNNNNNNNNNNNNNNNNNNNNNNNNNNNNNNNNNNNNNNNNNNNNNNNNNNNNNNNNNNNNNNNNNNNNNNNNNNNNNNNNNNNNNNNNNNNNNNNNNNNNNNNNNNNNNNNNNNNNNNNNNNNNNNNNNNNNNNNNNNNNNNNNNNNNNNNNNNNNNNNNNNNNNNNNNNNNNNNNNNNNNNNNNNNNNNNNNNNNNNNNNNNNNNNNNNNNNNNNNNNNNNNNNNNNGGAAAGAAAAGGCUAGGUGGCAAAUGGUAAAACCAAUGUUGGGCCUUGCUGGAGGAGUUUUAUUCAAGGCGAACUAUCAAGGGGUUCCCAUUAUGACCCAACUGUGUAAGGAACGCAAAAUCAAGGAACAUAACACCGGUAUGACGGAAAUUAGGGCGGCAAGAGUGGAACAAAACACCAGGCAUAAGGCCGAGCCUUCCACCCUUUACCAAGUAUAUAGGUGCAUUAAUUAAAUAAGAGAUAUCGUGGUAUCCCAACAAAUAUCCAUGUUCCAACAAGGAACAACAUAUCCAUGUUCCAAUAAGGAACAAACUCCAAUCUUCACCUGCAACUAACAACACUAUAAGGGGGGGCUGAGCAAAGCGGUAACAUAGCCAAACAACGGUUUGCUAGGACAAGGUGGGUUAGAGGCUUGGCUUAACAAUAUGGGAGGCAUGAUAUAGC